AAUUUUGGACAAUGGGGGAACCCUUGAUCAAGCAAUCCCGCGUUAAGGAGGAAGGCCUUCGGGUGGAAAGGACCUUUUGGAGGGAAGGAAAGGUAAUCCCCUAAACGGAAAACCGGCGGCCGGAACUGGCGGAUAAAGAACCGGCAACCUAGUUCCAAGAGCCCGCGGUAAUACGUAGGGUGCAAGCGUUAAUCGGAAUUACUGGGCGUAAAGCGUGUGUAGGCGGUUCGGAAAGAAAGAUGUGAAAUCCCAGGGCUCAACCUUGGAACUGCAUUUUUAACUGCCGAGCUAGAGUAUGUCAGAGGGGGGUAGAAUUCCACGUGUAGCAGUGAAAUGCGUAGAUAUGUGGAGGAAUACCGAUGGCGAAGGCAGCCCCCUGGGAUAAUACUGACGCUCAGACACGAAAGCGUGGGGAGCAAACA
This 422-nucleotide ribosomal RNA is filed under the name uncultured bacterium. Its description in RNAcentral is "partial 16S ribosomal RNA". It matches the Rfam family "Bacterial small subunit ribosomal RNA", at positions 360 to 774 of the family's 1533-position model. The record is from RNAcentral.